UGAGUACGAGAUGCUACGGCAUCGAAGCAGUCUAUGUCAUACUUCCAAGAAAAGCUUGCACUGUCAUAAACAAAGAAUGCCUGUACCAUAACCGACACAGGUGGGUAGGUAGAGUAUACUAAGGGGCGCGAGAUAACUCUCUCUAAGGAACUCGGCAAAAUGACUCCGUAACUUCGGGAGAAGGAGUGCCUUAUUUCUAAGGUUGCAAUAACAAGAUCCAAGCAACUGUUUACCAAAAACACAGGUCUCCGCUAAGUCGUAAGACGAUGUAUGGGGGCUGACGCCUGCCCAGUGCCAGAAGGUUAAAGAAGUUGGUUAGCAUUAGCGAAGCUGAUAACUGAAGCCCUGGUGAACGGCGGCCGUAACUAUAACGGUCCUAAGGUAGCGAAAUUCCUUGUCGGGUAAGUUCCGACCCGCACGAAAGGCGUAAUGAUUUGGAUACUGUCUCGGAGAGGGGCUCGGUGAAAUAGACUUGUCUGUGAAGAUGCGGACUACCUGCACCUGGACAGAAAGACCCUAUGAAGCUUUACUGUAACUUGAGAUUGAAAUUGGACUUUAUUUGCGCAGUAUAGGUGGGAGGCGUUGAGAAUAAUCUUGCGGGAUUGUUGGAGCCAUCAGUGAGAUACCACUCUUGUAAUGUUAGAUUUCUAACUUUGUAUCAUUAUCUGGUCAAAGAACAGUUUCAGGCGGGCAGUUUGACUGGGGCGGUCGCCUCCCAAAGGGUAACGGAGGCGCACAAAGGUUUCCUCUGAACGGGUAGAAAUCGUAUCUAGAGUGUAAAGGCAUAAGGAAGCUUGACUGUGAGACCUACAAGUCGAGCAGGGACGAAAGUCGGUCUUAGUGAUCUGACGGUGCUGAGUGGAAAGGCCGUCACUCAACGGAUAAAAGUUACUCUAGGGAUAACAGGCUGAUCUCCCCCAAGAGUUCACAUCGACGGGGAGGUUUGGCACCUCGAUGUCGGCUCAUCGCAUCCUGGGGCGGUAGUCCGUCCCAAGGGUUGGGCUGUUCGCCCAUGAAAGCGGUACGCGAGCUGGGUUCAGAACGUCGUGAGAGAGUUCGGUCCAUAUCCGGUGUAGGCGUUAGAAUAUUGAGAGGAGCCUUCUCUAGUACGAGAGGACCGAGAAGGACAUACCUCUGGUGUACCAGUUAUCGUGCCAACGGUAAACGCUGGGUAGCUAUGUAUGGAGUGGAUAACCGCUGAAAGCAUCUAAGUGGGAAGCCCACCUCAAGAUAAG
This 1235-nucleotide ribosomal RNA is filed under the name metagenome. RNAcentral's name for it is "bacterial LSU rRNA". It matches the Rfam family "Bacterial large subunit ribosomal RNA", at positions 1564 to 2808 of the family's 2925-position model. The record is from RNAcentral.